Molecule: non-coding RNA, 45 nt
Organism: Schistosoma rodhaini
Lineage: Eukaryota; Metazoa; Platyhelminthes; Trematoda; Strigeidida; Schistosomatidae
Source: Rfam
AUCUAGCUGACGAGUCACAAAUUGGACGAAACGUAUGUCCUGGAU